This 95-nucleotide small nucleolar RNA is filed under the name Rasamsonia emersonii CBS 393.64. Its description in RNAcentral is "A. fumigatus snoRNA Afu_191". It matches the Rfam family "A. fumigatus snoRNA Afu_191". Lineage: Eukaryota; Fungi; Ascomycota; Eurotiomycetes; Eurotiales; Trichocomaceae. The record is from Rfam by way of RNAcentral.
CUUUUAUGAUGAGCAAAAAGUGAAUUCUGCAAUACUGACAAUUUCCCCUCAUUGGGUGAAAUUGUAUGUGGACACAUUCUACACUUGAUCUGAUG